GCUGGUAUAGUGUAACGGAUAGCACAAGGGUCUUCUAAGCCCUAAAGACUAGGUUCGAAUCCUAGUAUCAGCACCA
RNAcentral lists this transfer RNA (76 nucleotides) under Alphaproteobacteria bacterium. Its description in RNAcentral is "tRNA-Arg". It matches the Rfam family "tRNA". Rfam says of the family: Transfer RNA (tRNA) molecules are approximately 80 nucleotides in length. Their secondary structure includes four short double-helical elements and three loops (D, anti-codon, and T loops). The record is from RNAcentral. Lineage: Bacteria; Pseudomonadati; Pseudomonadota; Alphaproteobacteria.